RNAcentral lists this ribosomal RNA (1286 nucleotides) under Pediococcus acidilactici. RNAcentral's name for it is "bacterial SSU rRNA". It matches the Rfam family "Bacterial small subunit ribosomal RNA", at positions 143 to 1426 of the family's 1533-position model. Lineage: Bacteria; Bacillati; Bacillota; Bacilli; Lactobacillales; Lactobacillaceae. The record is from RNAcentral.
AUAACACCUGGAAACAGAUGCUAAUACCGUAUAACAGAGAAAACCGCCUGGUUUUCUUUUAAAAGAUGGCUCUGCUAUCACUUCUGGAUGGACCCGCGGCGCAUUAGCUAGUUGGUGAGGUAACGGCUCACCAAGGCGAUGAUGCGUAGCCGACCUGAGAGGGUAAUCGGCCACAUUGGGACUGAGACACGGCCCAGACUCCUACGGGAGGCAGCAGUAGGGAAUCUUCCACAAUGGACGCAAGUCUGAUGGAGCAACGCCGCGUGAGUGAAGAAGGGUUUCGGCUCGUAAAGCUCUGUUGUUAAAGAAGAACGUGGGUGAGAGUAACUGUUCACCCAGUGACGGUAUUUAACCAGAAAGCCACGGCUAACUACGUGCCAGCAGCCGCGGUAAUACGUAGGUGGCAAGCGUUAUCCGGAUUUAUUGGGCGUAAAGCGAGCGCAGGCGGUCUUUUAAGUCUAAUGUGAAAGCCUUCGGCUCAACCGAAGAAGUGCAUUGGAAACUGGGAGACUUGAGUGCAGAAGAGGACAGUGGAACUCCAUGUGUAGCGGUGAAAUGCGUAGAUAUAUGGAAGAACACCAGUGGCGAAGGCGGCUGUCUGGUCUGUAACUGACGCUGAGGCUCGAAAGCAUGGGUAGCGAACAGGAUUAGAUACCCUGCUAGUCCAUGCCGUAAACGAUGAUUACUAAGUGUUGGAGGGUUUCCGCCCUUCAGUGCUGCAGCUAACGCAUUAAGUAAUCCGCCUGGGGAGUACGACCGCAAGGUUGAAACUCAAAGAAUGACGGGGGCCCGCACAGCGGGGAGCAUGUGGUUAAUUCGAGCUACGCGAGACCUACCAGGUCUUGACAUCUUCUGCCAACCUAAGAGAUUAGGCGUUCCCUUCGGGGACAGAAUGACAGGUGGUGCAUGGUUGUCGUCAGCUCGUGUCGUGAGAUGUUGGGUUAAGUCCCGCAACGAGCGCAACCCUUAUUACUAGUUGCCAGCAUUCAGUUGGGCACUCUAGUGAGACUGCCGGUGACAAACCGGAGGAAGGUGGGGACGACGUCAAAUCAUCAUGCCCCUUAUGACCUGGGCUACACACGUGCUACAAUGGAUGGUACAACGAGUCGCGAAACCGCGAGGUUUAGCUAAUCUCUUAAAACCAUUCUCAGUUCGGACUGUAGGCUGCAACUCGCCUACACGAAGUCGGAAUCGCUAGUAAUCGCGGAUCAGCAUGCCGCGGUGAAUACGUUCCCGGUCCUUGUACACACCGCCCGUCACACCAUGAGAGUUUGUAACACACAAAG